CGUGCUAAGGUAGCAUAAUCAUUAGCCUCUUAAUUAGAGGCUCGUAUGAACGGUGAAACAUUUCAAUUUCUUUUUUAAUUAAUUUUUUUUAAUUUAAAUUAAGAAUAAAAAUGUUCUUAUAAAUAAAAUAGACGAUAAGACCCUUUUGAACUUCACUCUAGUUUAGCUGGGGCAGCUAAAUAAAAAUAAUCUUAUUUUUUUUAAUUUAAAUAAAGACCCAAUAUAAUUGAUUUAAUGAACAAGUUACCAUAGGGAUAACAGCGUAAUAUCUUUCUAAAGCUCUUAUUGAAAAAGAAGAUUGCGACCUCGAUGUUGAAUUAGUGAAACUUUAAUGCAGUAAUUAUAAAAGUAGGUCUGUUCGACCUUUAAAACAUUACAUGAUUUGA
This 386-nucleotide ribosomal RNA is filed under the name Argiope lobata. RNAcentral's name for it is "partial 16S ribosomal RNA". It matches the Rfam family "Bacterial large subunit ribosomal RNA", at positions 1947 to 2608 of the family's 2925-position model. Lineage: Eukaryota; Metazoa; Arthropoda; Arachnida; Araneae; Araneidae. The record is from RNAcentral.